This 253-nucleotide ribosomal RNA is filed under the name uncultured bacterium. RNAcentral describes it as "partial 16S ribosomal RNA". It matches the Rfam family "Bacterial small subunit ribosomal RNA", at positions 524 to 776 of the family's 1533-position model. The record is from RNAcentral.
UACAGGGGGGGCAAGCGUUGUUCGGAAUUACUGGGCGUAAAGGGCUCGUAGGUGGCCAACUAAGUCAGACGUGAAAUCCCUCAGCUUAACUGGGGAACUGCGUCUGAUACUGGAUGGCUUGAGUUUGGGAGAGGGAUGCGGAAUUCCAGGUGUAGCGGUGAAAUGCGUAGAUAUCAGGAGGAACACCGAUGGCGAAGGCAGGUCUCUGGGCCAUAACUGACGCUGAGAAGCGAAAGCAUGGGGAGCGAACAGG